RNAcentral lists this ribosomal RNA (426 nucleotides) under uncultured bacterium. RNAcentral describes it as "bacterial SSU rRNA". It matches the Rfam family "Bacterial small subunit ribosomal RNA", at positions 355 to 773 of the family's 1533-position model. The record is from RNAcentral.
UGAGGAAUAUUGGACAAUGGGCGCAAGCCUGAUCCAGCAAUGCCGCGUGCAGGAUGAAGGCCUUCGGGUUGUAAACUGCUUUUGUACGGAGCGAAAAGGUCUGCCCUAAUACGGUGGGCUCAUGACGGUACCGUAAGAAUAAGCACCGGCUAACUACGUGCCAGCAGCCGCGGUAAUACGUAGGGUGCGAGCGUUAAUCGGAAUUACUGGGCGUAAAGCUUGCGCAGGCGGUUAUAUAAGACAGAUGUGAAAUCCCCGGGCUCAACCUGGGACCUGCAUUUGUGACUGUAUAGCUAGGGUACGGUAGAGGGGGAUGGAAUUCCGCGUGUAGCAGUGAAAUGCGUAGAUAUGCGGAGGAACACCGAUGGCGAGGGCAAUCCCCUGGACCUGUACUGACGCUCAUGCACGAAAGCGUGGGGAGCAAAC